Molecule: long non-coding RNA, 484 nt
Organism: Ostrea edulis (European flat oyster)
Lineage: Eukaryota; Metazoa; Mollusca; Bivalvia; Ostreida; Ostreidae
Exons: 3
Source: RefSeq, a predicted model, not a curated record
UCCCCUAUUGGCAUAGAAACAGCACAGAAGAAUGUUGACGGAGGCCAGAGAACCGUGAAACACGUGGGAGGAUCUAAAUGGAGAACAUAUUUCCGGUUGGGACUCGGAGCGGCUCUCGUCUGCCUUUCUGUUGGUGUAACUCUCGUGAUCAUUUAUACAGUGUAUGCCGAGGUGGACUACUGGCAAGAAGACCAAAGUGAACCGUUUAAUAGGAACUCAGGGACGUUUGAUACGUUCUCCUCGACCCUGGACAUCCGGACACGAGUUACAGCAACAUUGACUACUAAUGCUGAACAAGGCUCUAUCGUUCUUCGCCUCAGUCCAGCUAAUGGCAAUCCGUCGGAUUUUAGUUACGUCAUACUGGAUGGAAUUCUGUAUCCAUUUCGUGUGAACAAACGUGGUGUCGUAUCAGUUGCCGGCAUAUUGAAAGCAAAGAGAUACAAGUUUGUCGUGAGAGUUACUGAUCCCUGGACGGAUCGCUUUG